RNAcentral lists this ribosomal RNA (253 nucleotides) under uncultured bacterium. RNAcentral describes it as "partial 16S ribosomal RNA". It matches the Rfam family "Bacterial small subunit ribosomal RNA", at positions 524 to 776 of the family's 1533-position model. The record is from RNAcentral.
UACGGAGGGUGCGAGCGUUACUCGGAAUCACUGGGCGUAAAGGGCGCGUAGGCGGCUCCUCUAGUCCGGGGUGAAAGCCCCCGGCCCAACCGGGGAGGGUCCCUGGAGACGGGGGAGCUGGAGUCCGGGAGAGGGAGGCGGAAUUCCCGGUGUAGGGGUGAAAUCCGUAGAGAUCGGGAGGAACACCGGUGGCGAAGGCGGCCUUCUGGACCGAGACUGACGCUGAGGCGCGAAAGCGUGGGGAGCAAACAGG